Molecule: ribosomal RNA, 253 nt
Filed under: uncultured bacterium
Lineage: Bacteria
Description: partial 16S ribosomal RNA
Rfam family: Bacterial small subunit ribosomal RNA
Source: RNAcentral
UACAGAGGGGGCGAGCGUUGUUCGGAAUUCCUGGGCGUACAGGGCGCGUAGGCGGCCUGCUAAGUCAUACGUGAAAUCCCUCGGCUCAACCGGGGAACUGCGUGUGAUACUGGCGGGCUUGAAUUCGGGAGAGGGAUGCGGAAUUCCAGGUGUAGCGGUGAAAUGCGUAGAUAUCUGGAGGAACACCGGUGGCGAAGGCGACAUCCUGGACCGGUAUUGACGCUGAGGCGCGAAAGCCAGGGGAGCAAACGGG